GACGAACGCUGGCGGCGCGCCUAACACAUGCAAGUCGAACGGAGCCGCGGUAAGCUUGCUCUUCUUAGCUUAGUGGCUAACGGGUGAGUAACGCGUACGUAACCUUCUCUGUUUUGGGGGACAACAGCUGGAAGCGACUUCUAAUACCACAUAAUCCCACGUACCGGCAUCAGCAGGAGGGAAUAGGAUUUAUUCGCGUUAGGAUGGACUGUCGUCGAAUUAGCUAGUUGGUGGGGUAACGGCCCACCAAGGCGAGGACUGGUAGACGGACUGAGAGGUUGAGCGGCGACAUUGGGACUGAGACGCAGUCCAGAAUACUAGGGGAGGCGGGAGUGGGGGAUAUAGCAAUAUGGGGGAAAUCAUGAUGCAGCGAGGCCGCGUGGAGGAAGAAGGUUUUAGGAUUGUAAAGUACUGUAGUUAGGGACGAUAAUGACGGUACCUAAAAAGAAAGCACCGGCUAACUACGUG
This 468-nucleotide ribosomal RNA is filed under the name uncultured bacterium. RNAcentral's name for it is "partial 16S ribosomal RNA". It matches the Rfam family "Bacterial small subunit ribosomal RNA", at positions 28 to 507 of the family's 1533-position model. The record is from RNAcentral.